CUACGGGGGCAGCAGUGGGGAAUAUUGGACAAUGGGGGAAACCCUGAUCCAGCAAUGCCGCGUGUGUGAAGAAGGCCUGCGGGUUGUAAAGCACUUUCGGUUGGGAGGACUGCUUCUAGCACUAAUAUUGUUGGAAGUUGACGUUACCUUCAGAAGAAGCACCGGCUAACUCCGUGCCAGCAGCCGCGGUAAUACGGAGGGUGCAAGUGUUAAUCGGAAUUACUGGGCGUAAAGCGCGCGUAGGCGGCUAGAUCAGUCGGGUGUGAAAGCCCCGGGCUUAACCUGGGAACUGCAUCCGAUACUGUCUAGCUUGAGUACAGGAGAGGAGAGUGGAAUUCCACAUAUAGCGGUGAAAUGCGUAGAUAUGUGGAGGAACACCAAUGGCGAAGGCAGCUCUCUGGCCUGAUACUGACGCUGAGGUGCGAAAGCGUGGGGAGCAAACAGGAUUAGAUACCCGUGUAGUC
RNAcentral lists this ribosomal RNA (464 nucleotides) under uncultured bacterium. Its description in RNAcentral is "partial 16S ribosomal RNA". It matches the Rfam family "Bacterial small subunit ribosomal RNA", at positions 339 to 795 of the family's 1533-position model. The record is from RNAcentral.